RNAcentral lists this ribosomal RNA (123 nucleotides) under Petromyzon marinus (sea lamprey). Lineage: Eukaryota; Metazoa; Chordata; Hyperoartia; Petromyzontiformes; Petromyzontidae. The record is from RNAcentral.
GUCAACAACCAAAAUUACUCGACAUGUGUAAGGUCUCGUCGGAUUUCAGAAGCUAAGCAGGUUUACAAACCUGGUCAGUACUUGGAUGGGUGACCGCUUGAGUUUUCCAGGGUGUUGUGGGUG